AAGCGGUGGAUGAUGUGGAUUAAUUCGAUGCAACGCGAAAACCUUACCUACCUUGACAUGUCCGGAAUCCUGCAGAGAUGCGGGAGUGCCCGAAAGGGAAUCGGAACACAGGUGCUGCAUGGCUGUCGUCAGCUCGUGUCGUGAGAUGUUGGGUUAAGUCCCGCAACGAGCGCAACCCUUAUCAUUAGUUGCUACGCAAGGGCACUCUAAUGAGACUGCCGGUGACAAACCGGAGGAAGGUGGGGAUGACGUCAAGUCCUCAUGGCCCUUAUGGUAGGGCUUCACACGUCAUACAAUGGUCGGUACAGAGGGUUGCCAAGCCGCGAGGCGGAGCCAAUCCCACAAAGCCGAUCGUAGUCCGGAUUGUUCUCUGCAACUCGAGAGCAUGAAGUCGGAAUCGCUAGUAAUCGCAGGUCAGCAUACUGCGGUGAAUACGUUCCCGGGUCUU
RNAcentral lists this ribosomal RNA (448 nucleotides) under uncultured Thiobacillus sp. RNAcentral describes it as "bacterial SSU rRNA". It matches the Rfam family "Bacterial small subunit ribosomal RNA", at positions 927 to 1382 of the family's 1533-position model. The record is from RNAcentral. Lineage: Bacteria; Pseudomonadati; Pseudomonadota; Betaproteobacteria; Nitrosomonadales; Thiobacillaceae.